UACGUAGGCAGCGAGCGUUGUUCGGAGUUACUGGGCGUAAAGAGUGCGUAGGCGGUUUCUAAGUUUGGUGUGAAAUCUCCCGCUUAACUGGGAGGGUGCGCCGAAAACUGGAAGGCUUGAGUAUGGGAGAGGUAAGCGGGAAUUCCUGGUGUAGCGGUGAAAUGCGUAGAUAUCAGGAGGAACACCAGUGGCGAAGGCGGCUAUCGUGGGCUGAAACUGACGCUGAGGCGCGAAGGCUAGGGGAGCAAACAGG
This 253-nucleotide ribosomal RNA is filed under the name uncultured bacterium. RNAcentral's name for it is "partial 16S ribosomal RNA". It matches the Rfam family "Bacterial small subunit ribosomal RNA", at positions 524 to 776 of the family's 1533-position model. The record is from RNAcentral.